RNAcentral lists this ribosomal RNA (380 nucleotides) under uncultured eukaryote. RNAcentral describes it as "partial 18S ribosomal RNA". It matches the Rfam family "Eukaryotic small subunit ribosomal RNA", at positions 592 to 975 of the family's 1831-position model. The record is from RNAcentral.
CAAUAGCGUAUAUUAAAGCUGUUGCGGUUAAAAAGCUCGUAGUUGGAUUUCUGUCAAGGACAACUGGUCCGCCCUCCGGGUGAGCACAUAGUUUGGUCUUGGCAUCUUGCUGGAAACUGUUGCUGCACUUGGUUGUGUGGCGCAGCAUCCAGCACUUUCACUUUGAGGAAAUUGGAGUGUUUCAAGCAGGCACAUGCCUUUGGACACAGUAGCAUGGAAUAAUUAGAUUGGGCUUUUGCUCCAAUUUGUCGGUCUCUGGAGCUGAGGUGAGAAUUAAUGGGGAUUGUUGGGGGCAUCCGAAUUUAGCCGUCAGAGGUGAAAUUCUUGGAUCUGCUAAAGACGGACAACUGCGAAAGCGUCUGCCCAGGAUGUUUUCAUUG